This 396-nucleotide long non-coding RNA is filed under the name Marmota monax (woodchuck). The record is from RNAcentral. Lineage: Eukaryota; Metazoa; Chordata; Mammalia; Rodentia; Sciuridae.
CCUGUAAUCCCAGUGGCUCAAAAGGAUGAGACAGGAGGAUCACAAGUUGCCAGCCUCAGCAACACAGGGAGACCCUACAAAAAAGGUUGGAAAUGUGACUCAGUAGUAGAGUGCCCUGGGUUCAGUCCCCUUAUUGUUAAGCCCCCCACCUAAAUUCACUUACAGUGAUCAAAAUUUGAACCAAGAAACUUAAAAGUUGUUAUAGAUAAGAAAUUUAGGUAAACGGACUCAAUGAUUGCAGUAAAAAUUCUCAAAUUAGGCAAUAGGCAACAAUUUUAUUUUUAGUACUAUCAUUUAGAGAAGACUGUUUCUAUUUUUGUUUUGAGAAGGGUUCUUGCUACCUUGCCAAGGCUGUCCUCAGAAUCCUGGGCUCAAGGGCUGGGGUUGUGGCUCAGU